UACGGAGGGAGCUAGCGUUGUUCGGAAUUACUGGGCGUAAAGCGCACGUAGGCGGCUUUGCAAGUUAGAGGUGAAAGCCCGGGGCUCAACUCCGGAAUUGCCUUUAAAACUGCAUCGCUAGAGUUGUGGAGAGGUAAGUGGAAUUCCGAGUGUAGAGGUGAAAUUCGUAGAUAUUCGGAAGAACACCAGUGGCGAAGGCGGCUUACUGGACACAUACUGACGCUGAGGUGCGAAAGCGUGGGGAGCAAACAGG
RNAcentral lists this ribosomal RNA (253 nucleotides) under uncultured bacterium. RNAcentral describes it as "partial 16S ribosomal RNA". It matches the Rfam family "Bacterial small subunit ribosomal RNA", at positions 524 to 776 of the family's 1533-position model. The record is from RNAcentral.